RNAcentral lists this long non-coding RNA (268 nucleotides) under Pelobates cultripes (western spadefoot toad). Lineage: Eukaryota; Metazoa; Chordata; Amphibia; Anura; Pelobatidae. The record is from RNAcentral.
GCAGUUUUAGUGUAUAGAUCAUUCCCCUGCAAUUUCACUGCUCAAUUCACUGUCAUUUAGGAGUUAAAUCACUUUGUUUCUGUUUAUGCAGCCCUAGCCACACCUCCCCUGGCUAUGAUUGACAGAGCCUGCAUGAAAAAAAAAAAAAAAAACUGGUUUCACUUUCAAACAGAUGUAAUUUACCUUAAAUAAUUGUAUCUUAAUCUCUAAAUUGAACUUUAAUCACAUACAGGAGGCUCUUGCAGGGUCUAGCAAGCUAUUACCAUAG